Molecule: transfer RNA, 76 nt
Filed under: Ruminococcus sp. CAG:563
Lineage: Bacteria; Bacillati; Bacillota; Clostridia; Eubacteriales; Oscillospiraceae
Also listed under: 7 other names
Description: transfer RNA-Met(CAT)
Rfam family: tRNA
About the family: Transfer RNA (tRNA) molecules are approximately 80 nucleotides in length. Their secondary structure includes four short double-helical elements and three loops (D, anti-codon, and T loops).
Source: RNAcentral
CGCGGAGUGGAGCAGUUGGUAGCUCGUCGGGCUCAUAACCCGAAGGUCGUUGGUUCAAGUCCAGCCUCCGCAACCA